RNAcentral lists this ribosomal RNA (180 nucleotides) under uncultured Glomeromycotina. RNAcentral describes it as "partial small subunit ribosomal RNA". The stretch from base 93 to 180 matches the Rfam family "Eukaryotic small subunit ribosomal RNA", at positions 738 to 828 of the family's 1831-position model. Lineage: Eukaryota; Fungi; Glomeromycota. The record is from RNAcentral.
GACCUGGCUGGGCGGUCUUGCCGAAAGGUAAGCACUGCUCUGGUCGGGUCUUUCCUUCUGGGGAACCUGCGUGCUCUUAAUUGAGUGCGCAGGGGAUCCAGGACUUUUACUUUGAAAAAAUUAGAGUGUUCAAAGCAGGCCUAUGUCUGAAUACAUUAGCAUGGAAUAAUAAAAUAGGAC